GUAAAAAUGGGAAAAGGGCCCGAAAAAUGGGAAAAUGGCCCCAAAAAAUGGGAAAAUGGCCCCAAAAAAUGGGAAAAUGGCCCCAAAAAUGGGAAAAUGGCCCCAAAAAAUGGGAAAAUGGCCCCAAAAAAAUGGGAAAAUGGCCCCAAAAAAUGGGAAAAUGGCCCCAAAAAGUGAGGCCGGGAGGGGUCGGGAUGGGGCUGGGAUGGACGGAGGGGUGGACGGAUGGACAGAUGGACACUGGAUGGACAGAUGGACACUGGAUGGACAGAUGGACACUGGAUGGACACUGGAUGGACAGAUGGACACUGGAUGGACAGACGGACACUGGGACGGACAGACGGACGCUGGGAUGGACAGAUGGACACUGGAUGGACACUGGACGGACAGAUGGACACAGGGAUGGAUACUGGGAUGGACAGAUGGACACUGGGAUGGACAGAUGGACACUGGGAUGGAUACUGGGAUGGACAGAUGGACACUGGGAUGGACAGAUGGACACUGGGACGGACAGAUGGACGCUGGACGGACAGACGGACGCUGGGAUGGAUGGAUGGACACUGGACGGACACUGGACGGACAGACGGACGCUGGGAUGGACACAGGGACGGACAGACAGACACUGGACGGACAGACGGACAUUGGGAUGGAUGGAUGGACACUGGGUGGAUACUGGGAUGGACGGAUGGACCCUGGACGGACAGACGGACGCUGGGAUGGACAGAUGGACACUGGAUGGACACUGGGAUGGACAGAUGGACACUGGGAUGGACACUGGGAUGGACAGAUGGACACUGGGACGGACAGACGGACACAGGGAUGGACAGAUGGACACUGGGAUGGACACUGGGAUGGACAGAUGGACACUGGACGGACACUGGGAUGGACACUGGACGGACAGAUGGACACUGGGAUGGACAGACGGACACUGGGAUGGACAGAUGGAUACUGGGAUGGAUGGAUGGACACUGGGAUGGACACUGGGAUGGACAGAUGGACACUGGGUGGACAGAUGGACACUGGGACGGACAGACGGACACUGGGAUGGACACUGGGAUGGACAGAUGGACAGAUGGACACUGGGUGGACACUGGAUGGACACUGGGUGGACAGAUGGACAGAUGGACACUGGGUGGACACUGGAUGGACACUGGGAUGGACAGACGGACACUGGGACGGACAGACGGACACUGGGUGGACACAGGGACGGACAGACGGACACUGGGACGGACAGACGGACACUGGGAUGGACCCUGGACGGACAGACGGACGCUGGGAUGGACACAGGGACGGACAGACGGACGCGGGGUCCCCGGCGCGUGGGGGGCGGGGCCGUGGGCGGGGGGCGGGGCCUCGGUUUUGCC
This 1364-nucleotide long non-coding RNA is filed under the name Lonchura striata (white-rumped munia). Its description in RNAcentral is "domestica (Bengalese finch) lncRNA (ENSLSDG00000004140.1)". The record is from RNAcentral. Lineage: Eukaryota; Metazoa; Chordata; Aves; Passeriformes; Estrildidae.